Molecule: long non-coding RNA, 979 nt
Organism: Perognathus longimembris pacificus (Pacific pocket mouse)
Lineage: Eukaryota; Metazoa; Chordata; Mammalia; Rodentia; Heteromyidae
Exons: 5
Source: RefSeq, a predicted model, not a curated record
AGGAGGAGGCUGGUUUGCUGGGAUCCUGGUCACGUCCCUGGGUUCUAGCGGGGAAUCCUGGCAUUCUGAAGGAGAGCUGCUGGCUUGUUGUUUCCCCGAGUUCAACUAGGCACCAAGCAGAGCCCCUGGCCCUGGACAGUGACCCUCCCCUCCCCCUUUUCCAUUUGUUUCUGCAGUAAUUAUGACCCAAACUACCAGCUGCGCAGAGAAGGCCUGCCUUACAGGGUGUAUGGAUACCAGAGGAUCCCCCCACUCAUCAACCAAGUGUCUACCAAGAUUCGGAGGACUCCUGUGGGCCUGGGGGUAAAGAGCAGCUGCAGCCCCUACAAAGCCUCCAGGAAUAGCCACCUGCCCUCCGGGCAGAUCAAGUCACGGGUACCAACUCCAGCCCCCCUCCCAGCAGUGCACACUGCCGAGCUGCACUCCAUCAGGGAGGCCCUGAGCCAGAUCAAAGCCCAGGUGGACAGCCUGCUGGAGAGUCUGGAGCACAUAGACAGGCAGAGGGAUCCGUCUGCAGAGACAAAGGGCAAUGAAGAAAACUGGGGUCUUGAAAAUGGAGGCUCCUCAUGCAGAAUUACUGAGUCCCCACAGGAGCCCAAGGGCCUAAGGGCCCAUCCAGAGGAAGCCAGCUCCAAGGGAAACACAGACACUGCACCUGCAGUGAAGAACCAAGCAUCUCACUAGGGGGCAGCCAGGAGGUGGGAACCCUUCUAGGACCAUCAGCUCCAUGGGCUGGGCUUUUGGAGGCCUCUCAGCUGCACCCACUUAACCAGAGGCACUCAUUCUGGAGCCAGGACAAUGGGAGUGAAGGCACAGAUCAGCCAUCAGCCAGGUGUCCCCCGUGGCUGUGCGGGGGUCGUUUCCCGAUGAGUCCUAGGGAGGGAGGCCUGGGACAGCCCAACAGCAGCUCCACAUCCUAAAUGCUGCCUUAGUCGCUCUGCCACUCCCCAUGCACCAGUCCUGGUGGCGUGGAGCACUG